UACGUAGGGAGCAAGCGUUGUCCGGAAUCAUUGGGCGUAAAGCGCGCGUAGGUGGCUCCAUAAGUCCGUUGUGAAAGUCAAAGGCUCAACCUUUGAAAGCCGAUGGAUACUGUGGAGCUAGAGUACGGAAGAGGCGAGUGGAAUUCCUGGUGUAGAGGUGAAAUUCGUAGAUAUCGGGAGGAACACCGGUGGCGAAGGCGGCGAUCUGGGUCGAUACUGACGCUGAGGUGCGAAAGCGUGGGGAGCAAACAGG
Molecule: ribosomal RNA, 253 nt
Filed under: uncultured bacterium
Lineage: Bacteria
Description: partial 16S ribosomal RNA
Rfam family: Bacterial small subunit ribosomal RNA
Source: RNAcentral